RNAcentral lists this ribosomal RNA (254 nucleotides) under uncultured prokaryote. RNAcentral describes it as "partial 16S ribosomal RNA". It matches the Rfam family "Bacterial small subunit ribosomal RNA", at positions 525 to 777 of the family's 1533-position model. The record is from RNAcentral.
ACAGAGGGUGCGAGCGUUGUUCGGAAUUACUGGGCGUAAAGCGCGCGCAGGCGGCUCUUUAAGUCCGCUGGUCAAAGACCGGGGCUCAACCCCGUGUCAGCCAGGGAUACUGGAGGGCUGGAGACAGGUAGAGGCAAGCGGAAUUCCGGGUGUAGCGGUGGAAUGCGUAGAGAUCCGGAAGAACACCGGAGGCGAAGGCGGCUUGCUGGACCUGGUCUGACGCUGAGGCGCGAAAGCGUGGGGAGCGAACAGGA